AGAGUUUGAUCCUGGCUCAGAGCGAACGCUGGCGGCAGGCUUAACACAUGCAAGUCGAGCGGGCGUAGCAAUACGUCAGCGGCAGACGGGUGAGUAACGCGUGGGAACGUACCUUUUGGUUCGGAACAACACAGGGAAACUUGUGCUAAUACCGGAUAAGCCCUUACGGGGAAAGAUUUAUCGCCGAAAGAUCGGCCCGCGUCUGAUUAGCUAGUUGGUGAGGUAACGGCUCACCAAGGCGACGAUCAGUAGCUGGUCUGAGAGGAUGAUCAGCCACAUUGGGACUGAGACACGGCCCAAACUCCUACGGGAGGCAGCAGUGGGGAAUAUUGGACAAUGGGGGCAACCCUGAUCCAGCCAUGCCGCGUGAGUGAUGAAGGCCCUAGGGUUGUAAAGCUCUUUUGUGCGGGAAGAUAAUGACGGUACCGCAAGAAUAAGCCCCGGCUAACUUCGUGCCAGCAGCCGCGGUAAUACGAAGGGGGCUAGCGUUGCUCGGAAUCACUGGGCGUAAAGGGUGCGUAGGCGGGUCUUUAAGUCAGGGGUGAAAUCCUGGAGCUCAACUCCAGAACUGCCUUUGAUACUGAGGAUCUUGAGUCCGGGAGAGGUGAGUGGAACUGCGAGUGUAGAGGUGAAAUUCGUAGAUAUUCGCAAGAACACCAGUGGCGAAGGCGGCUCACUGGCCCGGUACUGACGCUGAGGCACGAAAGCGUGGGGAGCAAACAGGAUUAGAUACCCUGGUAGUCC
This 744-nucleotide ribosomal RNA is filed under the name uncultured bacterium. Its description in RNAcentral is "bacterial SSU rRNA". It matches the Rfam family "Bacterial small subunit ribosomal RNA", at positions 8 to 796 of the family's 1533-position model. The record is from RNAcentral.